AGAAGGUGAUCCUGGCUCAGGAUGAACGCUGGCGGCGUGCCUAAUACAUGCAAGUCGAGCGAAUGGAUUGAGAGCUUGCUCUCAAGAAGUUAGCGGCGGACGGGUGAGUAACACGUGGGUAACCUGCCCAUAAGACUGGGAUAACUCCGGGAAACCGGGGCUAAUACCGGAUAAUAUUUUGAACUGCAUGGUUCGAAAUUGAAAGGCGGCUUCGGCUGUCACUUAUGGAUGGACCCGCGUCGCAUUAGCUAGUUGGUGAGGUAACGGCUCACCAAGGCAACGAUGCGUAGCCGACCUGAGAGGGUGAUCGGCCACACUGGGACUGAGACACGGCCCAGACUCCUACGGGAGGCAGCAGUAGGGAAUCUUCCGCAAUGGACGAAAGUCUGACGGAGCAACGCCGCGUGAGUGAUGAAGGCUUUCGGGUCGUAAAACUCUGUUGUUAGGGAAGAACAAGUGCUAGUUGAAUAAGCUGGCACCUUGACGGUACCUAACCAGAAAGCCACGGCUAACUACGUGC
This 520-nucleotide ribosomal RNA is filed under the name Bacillus cereus. RNAcentral's name for it is "bacterial SSU rRNA". It matches the Rfam family "Bacterial small subunit ribosomal RNA", at positions 1 to 508 of the family's 1533-position model. The record is from RNAcentral. Lineage: Bacteria; Bacillati; Bacillota; Bacilli; Caryophanales; Bacillaceae.